Molecule: small nucleolar RNA, 148 nt
Filed under: Tinamus guttatus (white-throated tinamou)
Lineage: Eukaryota; Metazoa; Chordata; Aves; Tinamiformes; Tinamidae
Source: RNAcentral
CUUCGGUGACGAUACGAUGACGAGUCAGAAGGGACGUCCUUGCACAGGUGUAGCCUGCUCAGUGCCACGUUCUGUGGUGCUGCACGGAGGUUGCCCUGGGCAGGACGUCCUUCUCAGCGGAUGAUUUAGAGGCAUUUGUCUGAGAAGG